RNAcentral lists this ribosomal RNA (615 nucleotides) under uncultured bacterium. Its description in RNAcentral is "bacterial SSU rRNA". It matches the Rfam family "Bacterial small subunit ribosomal RNA", at positions 28 to 641 of the family's 1533-position model. The record is from RNAcentral.
GAUGAACGCUGGCGGCGUGCCUAAUGCAUGCAAGUCGAGCGACGCAUACGGAAGGGGUAACCCAUCUGUAUGACGGAGCGGCGAACGGGUGAGUAACACGUGAGCAACCUGCCCCACAGAUCGGGAUAGCCCAGGGAAACCUGGAUUAAUACCGGAUACCCUCGGAGGAUCGCAUGGUCCGUCGAGGAAAUGCCUUUGUGCUGUGGGAUGGGCUCGCGGCUUAUCAGCUAGUUGGUGGGGUAACGGCCUACCAAGGCGUCGACGAGUAGCUGGUCUGAGAGGACGAUCAGCCACACUGGGACUGAGACACGGCCCAGACUCCUACGGGAGGCAGCAGCAGGGAAUUUUGCGCAAUGGACGAAAGUCUGACGCAGCAACGCCGCGUGGGGGGAUGAAAGGCCCUUUCGGGUUGUAAAACCCCCGUUUUCAGGAGGGAAGAAAAUGACGGUACCUCCAGAAGAAGCACCGGCCAACUACGUGCCAGCAGCCGCGGUAAUACGUAGGGUGCGAGCGUUAUCCGGAAUCAUUGGGCGUAAAGAGCUCGUAGGCGGUUCAGCAAGUCGGCUGUGAAAUUCUGGGGCUCAACCCCAGGACUGCAGUCGAUACUGGCUGUGA